This 312-nucleotide ribosomal RNA is filed under the name uncultured Anaerolineaceae bacterium. Its description in RNAcentral is "bacterial SSU rRNA". It matches the Rfam family "Bacterial small subunit ribosomal RNA", at positions 1056 to 1382 of the family's 1533-position model. The record is from RNAcentral. Lineage: Bacteria; Bacillati; Chloroflexota; Anaerolineae; Anaerolineales; Anaerolineaceae.
CAGCUCGUGUCGUGAGAUGUUCGGUUAAGUCCGCUAACGAGCGCAACCCUCACUGUGUGUUAUAUGUGUCACACGGGACUGCCGGUUUUAAGCCGGAGGAAGGUGGGGAUGACGUCAAGUCAGCAUGGCCUUUAUAUCCUGGGCUACACACACGCUACAAUGGUCGGUACAAUAGGUUGCCAAGCCGCGAGGCGGAGCCAAUCCACAAAGCCGGCCUCAGUUCAGAUUGUAGGCUGCAACUCGCCUGCAUGAAGAUGGAGUUGCUAGUAACCGCAGGUCAGCAAUACUGCGGUGAAUACGUUCCCGGGUCUU